Molecule: non-coding RNA, 106 nt
Filed under: Rubritalea squalenifaciens
Lineage: Bacteria; Pseudomonadati; Verrucomicrobiota; Verrucomicrobiia; Verrucomicrobiales; Rubritaleaceae
Also listed under: 1 other name
Description: TPP sequence
Rfam family: TPP riboswitch aptamer (THI element)
About the family: Vitamin B(1) in its active form thiamin pyrophosphate (TPP) is an essential coenzyme that is synthesised by coupling of pyrimidine and thiazole moieties in bacteria. The previously detected thiamin-regulatory element, thi box was extended, resulting in a new, highly conserved RNA secondary structure, the THI element, which is widely distributed in eubacteria and also occurs in some archaea.
Source: RNAcentral
CCUCUCAGACAGGGGAGCCGACGAGGCUGAGAACGCGCACCACCGCACGUGACCCUUCGAACCUGAUACGGUUAGCACCGCCGAAGGGAGUCGCAUUUCACCAAAC